UACGUAGGGUGCAAGCGUUGUCCGGAAUUAUUGGGCGUAAAGAGCUCGUAGGCGGUUUGUCGCGUCUGCUGUGAAAACUCGGGGCUUAACCCCGGGCCUGCAGUGGGUACGGGCAGACUAGAGUGCGGUAGGGGAGACUGGAAUUCCUGGUGUAGCGGUGAAAUGCGCAGAUAUCAGGAGGAACACCGGUGGCGAAGGCGGGUCUCUGGGCCAAAACUGACGCUGAGGAGCGAAAGCGUGGGGAGCGAACAGG
RNAcentral lists this ribosomal RNA (253 nucleotides) under uncultured bacterium. RNAcentral's name for it is "partial 16S ribosomal RNA". It matches the Rfam family "Bacterial small subunit ribosomal RNA", at positions 524 to 776 of the family's 1533-position model. The record is from RNAcentral.